Molecule: long non-coding RNA, 1007 nt
Filed under: Scleropages formosus (Asian bonytongue)
Lineage: Eukaryota; Metazoa; Chordata; Actinopteri; Osteoglossiformes; Osteoglossidae
Description: lncRNA (ENSSFOG00015031196.1)
Source: RNAcentral
GCGGGGAGCGCAGGUAUGGUCUCUCUACAUCCACGUCAAAACCUAUGCAACCUGAAGACAAGCUCGGGCUUAUGGUCUUUCAGCGUACAGACAAUGACAACAAAUGUGCCAUGUCCUUCGAGGAUGAGAUCUUUCUAAAGAUUAUGGAGAAAGAAGUCCAUCAGGAUGAAAAGAACAAUUGGGUGGCUCCCUUACCGUUCAAGUCACCUCGUCCCCCACUCCCGAACAACAGAGAGCAAGCACUGUCCCGCCUUAGGUCUUUAAGACGCACUCUGAGCAAAAACGCGGAGAUGAAGCAACAGUUUUCCUCCUUCAUGGAAAAGCUCUUCGAGAACAAACAUGCAGAGAAGGCACUGCCCAUCCACGAGAAGCAAGAAUGUUGGUACCUGCCCAUUUUCGGGGUGUACCAUCCGCAGAAGCCAGGGCAGAUACGAGUCGUGUUUGACUCAAGCGCCCAACAACACGGUGUCUCCCUCAACUCAGUGCUGCUUACAGGCCCCGAUCUGAACAAUACUCUCCUGGGUGUGCUGUUACGGUUUAGGAAGGAUCUCAUCGCAGUCACUGCUGAUAUCCAACAGAUGUUUUAUGGAUUCCUGGUAAAGCACGACCACAGAGACUACCUGAGAUUCCUGUGGCAUAAAGACAAUGACCUAUCCAAAGAGAUAGAAGAAUAUCGCAUGCGAGUGCAUGUCUUUGGCAAUAGCCCAUCCCCGGCGGUUGCUAUCUACGGUCUGCGGCGAGCUGCUCAGAAAGGAGAACCAAAGUAUGGAGCUGACACAAGGCACUUUGUUGAAAGACACUUCUAUGUGGACGAUGGGCUCAUAUCCCUUCCUACAGAGUCUACAGCUAUAGACCUACUGAAGCGUACUUGUGCAUCACUUGCAGAGUCUAACCUGAAGCUGCACAAAAUCGCAUCAAACAGCGUCACUGUGAUGAAAGCCUUCAAACCAGAAGAACUGGCCUCAGGCAUCCAAGACCUGGGUCUAGAUGAUGAGACUCUGCCGGCC